This 67-nucleotide transfer RNA is filed under the name Eurhadina exclamationis. RNAcentral's name for it is "tRNA-Ser". It matches the Rfam family "tRNA". From Rfam's summary of the family: Transfer RNA (tRNA) molecules are approximately 80 nucleotides in length. Their secondary structure includes four short double-helical elements and three loops (D, anti-codon, and T loops). The record is from RNAcentral. Lineage: Eukaryota; Metazoa; Arthropoda; Insecta; Hemiptera; Cicadellidae.
AGUUGUUUAGCUUAUAAUAAAGUAUUUACUUUGAAAGUAAAAGAAAGAUAUAGACAUUUAACAUCUU